RNAcentral lists this ribosomal RNA (253 nucleotides) under uncultured bacterium. Its description in RNAcentral is "partial 16S ribosomal RNA". It matches the Rfam family "Bacterial small subunit ribosomal RNA", at positions 524 to 776 of the family's 1533-position model. The record is from RNAcentral.
UACGUAGGGAGCAAGCGUUGUCCGGAAUCAUUGGGCGUAAAGCGCGCGUAGGCGGCCCUGUAAGUCCGUUGUGAAAGUCAAAGGCUCAACCUUUGAAAGCCGAUGGAUACUGCAGGGCUAGAGUCCGGAAGAGGCGAGUGGAAUUCCUGGUGUAGCGGUGGGAUGCGCAGAUAUCAGGAGGAACACCAAUAGCGAAGGCAGCUCGCUGGGACGGUACUGACGCUAAGGCGCGAAAGCGUGGGGAGCGAACAGG